GUGCAGCAGGCGCGAAACCUCCGCAAUGCGGGCAACCGCGACGGGGGACCCCCAGUGCCGUGGCAUCGCCACGGCUUUUCCGGAGUGUAAAAAGCUCCGGGAAUAAGGGCUGGGCAAGGCCGGUGGCAGCCACCGCGGUAAUACCGGCGGCCCGAGUGGUGGCCGCUAUUAUUGGGCCUAAAGCGUCCGUAGCCGGGCCUGUAAGUCCCUGGCGAAAUCCCACGGCUCAACCGUGGGGCUUGCUGGGGAUACUGCAGGCCUUGGGACCGGGAGAGGCCGGGGGUACCCCUGGGGUAGGGGUGAAAUCCUAUAAUCCCAGGGGGACUGCCAGUGGCGAAGGCGCCCGGCUGGAACGGGUCCGACGGUGAGGGACGAAGGCCAGGGGAGCGAACCGGAUUAGAUACCCCUGUAGU
RNAcentral lists this ribosomal RNA (413 nucleotides) under uncultured microorganism. RNAcentral describes it as "bacterial SSU rRNA". It matches the Rfam family "Archaeal small subunit ribosomal RNA", at positions 330 to 745 of the family's 1478-position model. The record is from RNAcentral.